RNAcentral lists this long non-coding RNA (529 nucleotides) under Cricetulus griseus (Chinese hamster). RNAcentral describes it as "lncRNA (ENSCGRG00015040356.1)". Lineage: Eukaryota; Metazoa; Chordata; Mammalia; Rodentia; Cricetidae. The record is from RNAcentral.
GCCGGCGUUCCAGAGGGGCCCCGCCCUCGUCUUGGAACUGGAGACCCCGGCUGAGCACCUCUGGGAGGUUUCUGUAGUGCUCUCAGCCCCUCCGCGCCCCUCUCGGGCGGGUGAACUCCACUCAGCCGUCGUCUCCCCUGGUUUCCCAUACCAACGUCGAGUUCAGCCACAAAACCCACAUCCCCCAACCACAUCUCCACCGCAGGCUUCCGCCUUUCCGUAGCCGAACCUGAGCGACCCGCCCCAUGGUGACAAGCCGCCUUCAUUCCCACAAGCCCUGGGGCUUCUUCAGCUCCCAAGACAGGGUCUCUCUAUAGCUUUGGAACCUAUCCUGGAACGCUAUAUAAACCAGGCUGCUCUCGAAACUCAGAUAUUCGCCUGUCUCUGCCUCUCGAGUACUGGGACUAAAGGCGAGCACCACCACCACCCGGCUUACAUAAAGCAUUCUUGCAAAUUCUUCCCUGAAAUCUCCAACGAGAUGCCAUUGCCCAUAUCUUGUUUAGAAUGUGCUGGAAUGGCUGAAUUGAAG